GUGACCUCCCGGGAAGUCCUC
This 21-nucleotide small nuclear RNA is filed under the name Arabidopsis thaliana (thale cress). Its description in RNAcentral is "snRNA_15150". The record is from RNAcentral. Lineage: Eukaryota; Viridiplantae; Streptophyta; Magnoliopsida; Brassicales; Brassicaceae.